UGACCUCGGAUCAGGUAGGGAUACCCGCUGAACUUAAGCAUAUCAAUAAGCGGAGGAAAAGAAACCAACCGGGAUUGCCUCAGUAACGGCGAGUGAAGCGGCAAGAGCUCAAAUUUGAAAGCUGGCUCCUUCGGGGUCCGCAUUGUAAUUUGCAGAGGAUGCUUCGGGUGCGGCCCCUGUCUAAGUGCCCUGGAACGGGCCGUCAGAGAGGGUGAGAAUCCCGUCUGGGAUGGGGUGUCCGCGCCCGUGUGAAGCUCCUUCGACGAGUCGAGUUGUUUGGGAAUGCAGCUCUAAAUGGGUGGUAAAUUUCAUCUAAAGCUAAAUACUGGCCGGAGACCGAUAGCGCACAAGUAGAGUGAUCGAAAGAUGAAAAGCACUUUGAAAAGAGAGUUAAACAGCACGUGAAAUUGUUGAAAGGGAAGCGCUUGCGACCAGACUCGCCUCCGGGGUUCAGCCGGCAUUCGUGCCGGUGUACUUCCCCGGGGGCGGGCCAGCGUCGGUUUGGGCGGCCGGUCAAAGGCUCCCGGAAUGUAGUGCCCUCCGGGGCACCUUAUAGCCGGGAGUGCAAUGCGGCCAGCCUGGACCGAGGAACGCGC
RNAcentral lists this ribosomal RNA (596 nucleotides) under Aspergillus bertholletiae. RNAcentral describes it as "eukaryotic LSU rRNA". It matches the Rfam family "Eukaryotic large subunit ribosomal RNA", at positions 1 to 600 of the family's 3401-position model. Lineage: Eukaryota; Fungi; Ascomycota; Eurotiomycetes; Eurotiales; Aspergillaceae. The record is from RNAcentral.